GGAUAGCACAGUUGGUAGAGAAUGAGACUCUUAAUCUCAGGGACAUGGGUUCGAGCCCCACGUUGGGCA
RNAcentral lists this transfer RNA (69 nucleotides) under Podarcis lilfordi (Lilford's wall lizard). RNAcentral's name for it is "tRNA.Lys". Lineage: Eukaryota; Metazoa; Chordata; Lepidosauria; Squamata; Lacertidae. The record is from RNAcentral.